AAAGAUUACUCUCUCCGUUCAUUUUUACUUGUCAGAUGUCACUAUUUGACUUGACAUAUCUAUUAAGAAAAUAAUUAUUGAUAUAAGUGUUUUAUAUCAUACUAUCCCUAUUAAUUGAAAAAAAAUAUUUAUUACUAAGGAUAAAACAUGAAAACAGUUAAUUGUGUUUUCUUGAUAUGUUAAAAGUAGAAUAAAAAUAAUAGUUGAUUGGGUUGAAGUAUAUUUUUCCCCUUCAAAUCAACGUACAGUUCAUACAUCUUUUCAUUGUUUCUUCCCCCUAUUUUUCUUUUUGUUUGUUGAAAGAGAAAGUGGACGAAUUCAAAUCGAGUUGUUUCCAUUCCUCGACAGUUGUUUAAUGGGUGAAUUUGGUCCUUUAGGUAAAUGCAACUUGGUUGUCAAAAAAAAAUCCUAAUUUAUUGUAUGGAUUAGUUUUAUUUUGUGACAUAUUAACUCACAAUUUUUAUCAUUCUCAAUCUGAUCAAGACCAAAUAGAAAUUGGUUGAUGACUGAUAUAGAUGAGUGGGCAACAAUUAUAUGCUAGCUCAUCAUUUAUCGUUUAGUUCAAAUUCAAAUUGAACUACGAUGUAAGUUGAGCAAAUGAUCAAACAUUGAACUUGUCGACCAAUACCCUAUCUAAAUUCUGAACCAUGGGAUUGGUCCGCUGGCGGCGCAGCUGGAGAUUAUGAGGGCAGCCGAGAAAGAUGACCAGUACAAGAGUCGUUGUAGCUUACCAGAAUGAGUAAUCUGGUGUUGUACGGGUGGGAGAAUGCAAGUACUCGAUUAUUGGUACUGGUGGGAGAGUGCAAUUCUCUCAAAAAAUUUAAGGAUGACAAUAGGGUGGGGCGGGUUGAGCUUAAUCCGCAAAAAAUUUAAUCCACUUCACACAUUCCUGCAAUAUAAUGAGAAGCCUGAAUGUCCUCUUUGUAACACAUUCAAGCUUAGUCUGUCUAUAUCAUUCAGAUUUUUAGUCAUGGAUAGGUCAGGUGUUUCAAAAAGAUGACUGCAUAUAAAUCAUGGACACGUCUAUUCCAUAUGUAUCAGAAAAGAUUCACUCGUUCAGUAUUGUACUUCAUGACCUGAAAUGUGAGAUCCAGGGGCAUAGCUAUGUUAUAGCAAGGGUGUCCAAUUCAUCGAAAAAUAAUAGCGUAUAUAUAAGUAAAAUGAUAUACAAAGUGAUUAAAUAACAUAUUCUGAACACCCUUGACAUAAUAAGGUGUUGUAGCCCAGUGAUUUUAGCCGCCUUGGAAGUGCUGUUGGGGUAAAGGGUGGUUGUGAUCUGUGGAAGGAAGGUUAACUUUGGCGCCACACAUAGUGGUGUAGCAGAUCAUUUUAUCGAAAACAAGCACAUAACAACUUUACUUGAUUUACACGACAGCCUACUUGUCUUGCACUGAACAACUACCAUUAGAUUUUCCUUCACAAGAAGGUGGCAGAGCUGUUCUGGAUAUUAGUAUCAAUUUUACAUGUGCUUUGGGAAUGGAUUAAUCACUGUUGAGGUAUGACCGCUAUUUGUGAUGUAAUUCAAGAACUUGCACCAAAUUCAGUAUAUGAUUGUGAUAUAGUCCAAAAUAUAAAGAUGAAAAAUUCUUUAACUAA
Molecule: long non-coding RNA, 1596 nt
Organism: Solanum tuberosum (potato)
Lineage: Eukaryota; Viridiplantae; Streptophyta; Magnoliopsida; Solanales; Solanaceae
Exons: 3
Source: RefSeq, a predicted model, not a curated record